This 512-nucleotide ribosomal RNA is filed under the name Liopholis pulchra longicauda. RNAcentral's name for it is "partial 16S ribosomal RNA". It matches the Rfam family "Bacterial large subunit ribosomal RNA", at positions 1837 to 2593 of the family's 2925-position model. Lineage: Eukaryota; Metazoa; Chordata; Lepidosauria; Squamata; Scincidae. The record is from RNAcentral.
AAACAAGUAUUAAAGGUCCCGCCUGCCCAGUGAAACAUUUAAACGGCCGCGGUAUUCUAACCGUGCAAAGGUAGCGUAAUCACUUGUCUUCUAAAUAAAGACUAGUAUGAACGGCUAAAUGAGGACAAAACUGUCUCUUACAGCUAAUCAGUGAAACUGAUCUUCCAGUACAAAAGCUGGGAUAAACCCAUAAGACGAGAAGACCCUGUGGAGCUUAAAACCUACUGCUAAUAUACACCAAUAGUUGUACCUAGCCGAAGGUUUUGAGUUGGGGCGACUUCGGAAUAAAACAAAACCUCCGAGCACAGAACCACCACUUCUUACCAAGGCCAACAAGCCAAAGAAACCCCCGACCCAGUCAUACUGAUCAACGAACCAAGUUACCCCAGGGAUAACAGCGCUAUCUUCUUCAAGAGUCCCUAUCGACAAGAAGGUUUACGACCUCGAUGUUGGAUCAGGACACCCAAAUGGUGCAGCCGCUAUUAAAGGUUCGUUUGUUCAACGAUUCAUAG